Molecule: ribosomal RNA, 242 nt
Filed under: uncultured bacterium
Lineage: Bacteria
Description: partial 16S ribosomal RNA
Rfam family: Bacterial small subunit ribosomal RNA
Source: RNAcentral
UGGGUAACCUGCCUCAAAGAGGGGAAUAGCCUCCCGAAAGGGAGAUUAAUACCGCAUAAUAUGUUUUAAUCGCAUGAUUGAAAUAUCAAAGGAUUUUUCUUCGGAAACUUCCACUUUGAGAUGGACCGCGGCGCAUUAGCUAGUUGGUGAGGUAACGGCCCACCAAGGCAACGAUGCGUAGCCGACCUGAGAGGGUGAUCGGCCACACUGGGACUGAGACACGGCCCAGACUCCGUAGGAGG